GGGGUUGUGGCUCAGUGGUAGAGCGCUUGGCUAGCAUUUAUGAGGCACUGGGUUCGAUUCUCAGCACCA
Molecule: non-coding RNA, 69 nt
Organism: Ictidomys tridecemlineatus (thirteen-lined ground squirrel)
Lineage: Eukaryota; Metazoa; Chordata; Mammalia; Rodentia; Sciuridae
Source: Rfam